GGCCCCCGCCGGGUCGCGGCCGGUUUCGCCCGCCGGGUGGGGGCGUCCUCAGGAUGCGGCGGGCUCGGCUCCUGCGGGGGCCG
RNAcentral lists this transfer RNA (83 nucleotides) under Actinoplanes sp. OR16. RNAcentral's name for it is "tRNA-Ala". The record is from RNAcentral. Lineage: Bacteria; Bacillati; Actinomycetota; Actinomycetes; Micromonosporales; Micromonosporaceae.